UUGCUGCUUUGCUGACGAGUGGCGGACGGGUGAGUAAUGUCUGGGAAACUGCCUGAUGGAGGGGGAUAACUACUGGAAACGGUAGCUAAUACCGCAUAACGUCGCAAGACCAAAGAGGGGGACCUUCGGGCCUCUUGCCAUCGGAUGUGCCCAGAUGGGAUUAGCUAGUAGGUGGGGUAACGGCUCACCUAGGCGACGAUCCCUAGCUGGUCUGAGAGGAUGACCAGCCACACUGGAACUGAGACACGGUCCAGACUCCUACGGGAGGCAGCAGUGGGGAAUAUUGCACAAUGGGCGCAAGCCUGAUGCAGCCAUGCCGCGUGUAUGAAGAAGGCCUUCGGGUUGUAAAGUACUUUCAGCGGGGAGGAAGGUGCUGAGGUUAAUAACCUCAGCAAUUGACGUUACCCGCAGAAGAAGCACCGGCUAACUCCGUGCCAGCAGCCGCGGUAAUACGGAGGGUGCAAGCGUUAAUCGGAAUUACUGGGCGUAAAGCGCACGCAGGCGGUCUGUCAAGUCGGAUGUGAAAUCCCCGGGCUCAACCUGGGAACUGCAUUCGAAACUGGCAGGCUAGAGUCUUGUAGAGGGGGGUAGAAUUCCAGGUGUAGCGGUGAAAUGCGUAGAG
RNAcentral lists this ribosomal RNA (622 nucleotides) under uncultured Pseudomonadota bacterium. Its description in RNAcentral is "bacterial SSU rRNA". It matches the Rfam family "Bacterial small subunit ribosomal RNA", at positions 74 to 695 of the family's 1533-position model. The record is from RNAcentral. Lineage: Bacteria; Pseudomonadati; Pseudomonadota.